GUGUCAGCCGCCGCGGUAAUACGUAGGGUGCGAGCGUUAAUCGGAAUUACUGGGCGUAAAGCGUGCGCAGGCGGCCGCAUAAGACAGGUGUGAAAUCCCCGGGCUUAACCUGGGAAUGGCGCUUGUGACUGUGUGGCUAGAGUUCGGCAGAGGGGGGUGGAAUUCCACGUGUAGCAGUGAAAUGCGUAGAGAUGUGGAGGAACACCGAUGGCGAAGGCAGCCCCCUGGGUCGCGACUGACGCUCAAGCACGAAAGCGUGGGGAGCAAACAGGAUUAGAAACCCCAGUAGUCC
Molecule: ribosomal RNA, 292 nt
Filed under: uncultured bacterium
Lineage: Bacteria
Description: partial 16S ribosomal RNA
Rfam family: Bacterial small subunit ribosomal RNA
Source: RNAcentral